CACAGAGUGGGGGUUGUGAUUGCUGGAGGAUUUGGGCAAUUUAGGAAGUCAUUGCUGUCUGGGAGGCACCUGAACAGGGAGAGGUGUCAGUUGCCUUUAGCUGGGAAGAUGUGGGAGGCAGGGACACGGGAAGGAAAGAAGGCGGGCACAUGGGAAGGCAGUGGUGCAGAGAAGGAAGGCAGGAGCUACUUUUGGCAUUAAUAAUUUAAUGAAACCAGUUUUUUCCCUGAUUCCCCACAUUUUGGCCCUGUGGUCCUGGGAAGGAGCUGUGGCUGCAUCUCACCUCUGGGUUCAAAAGCACAAAUUUUGUGAAAUGUGCAAUUUAAUCAUUCUCUGGGAUUUGUUUGAGCCCGUGGCUCUGGAGCUGCCCUAAUUAGGGAGCUUUGUGUGAUCCUACUAUGGCCAUGCCAGGAACAGAUGCUGCAGGGCCUGAGCACAGCCAAUUACACCUGGCCAGGGAAAACCAGGCUUGGGAGGAAGGAAUUUGUUUGUUUGUUUGUUUGUUUUUAAUGGGAUAAUAGGGAAAAAGGAAGUCUGGGGGAGGUCCAGUCAGAGCAGGGCAGCCUCCAGCUUCAGAUUGCUCUGGGAGCUUGUCUGGAGUCUCCAGGGAUGAGGAUUGCUCACUGUCCCAGGCUGCACACACUUGCUAUCCCAUCUCUUUUCCCACACACUUGCAUCCAGACCCUUUUCUCUUGCCAGAAAUCUCUGUGUUCCCUUCUCUUUAAGCCUCUUUUUGGCAGCAGAAGCCCUUCUGCACCCAUGCUUUCCAGAGAUCCAGCUGGAAUGGAAUUUCAGUUCCUGGGGGUCUGGGGGUGCCUGGCGCUGCUUCCCGGCACCCCUAACUCCAUCCUCCCCCUAGGAAUGCCACCGAUGCAGGUGCACCAUGGGCCACCUGGGAUGGGCCAGCAUCACCCAGGACCGCCAGGCUCUGGAGGGCAGCCGCCCCCCCGGCCCCCUCCAGGAAUGCCGCACCCUGGGCCACCCCCCAUGGGGCUCCCCCCUCGGGGGCCACACUUUGGAUCUCCCAUGGGUCAUCCUGGGCCGCUGCCGCACCAUGGGCUCCGCGGGCCC
This 1071-nucleotide long non-coding RNA is filed under the name Cyanistes caeruleus (blue tit). RNAcentral's name for it is "lncRNA (ENSCCEG00000005521.1)". The record is from RNAcentral. Lineage: Eukaryota; Metazoa; Chordata; Aves; Passeriformes; Paridae.